Molecule: long non-coding RNA, 205 nt
Filed under: Mytilus galloprovincialis (Mediterranean mussel)
Lineage: Eukaryota; Metazoa; Mollusca; Bivalvia; Mytilida; Mytilidae
Source: RNAcentral
CAACAACUGUCAUAUUCCUGACUCGGUACAGGCAUUAUAAAAUGUAGAAAAUAGUGGAUUGCACCCGGUAUAUAGCGCUAAACCUUUCAAUUGUAAUACAGUCGCAUUAUAUUGAUAACGAUGUGGAAAUAAAACAGACAUAAUAGGUAAAACUGUCAAAAUAGGGGUAUAACAGUCAUCGCCGUGUCACAAUCGCAAUAAGAAC